Molecule: ribosomal RNA, 253 nt
Filed under: uncultured bacterium
Lineage: Bacteria
Description: partial 16S ribosomal RNA
Rfam family: Bacterial small subunit ribosomal RNA
Source: RNAcentral
UACGAAGGGAGCUAGCGUUGUUCGGAACCACUGGGCGUAGAGCGCACGUAGGCGGAUGUGUCAGUCAGGGGUGAAAUCCCGGAGCUCAACUUCGGAACUGCCCUUGAUACAGCACGUCUUGAGUCCGGAAGAGGUGGGUGGAAUUCCUAGUGUAGAGGUGAAAUUCGUAGAUAUUAGGAAGAACACCGGUGGCGAAGGCGGCCCACUGGUCCGGUACUGACGCUGAGGUGCGAAAGCGUGGGGAGCAAACAGG